This 1376-nucleotide unclassified non-coding RNA is filed under the name uncultured Neocallimastigales. RNAcentral describes it as "partial contains small subunit ribosomal RNA, internal transcribed spacer 1, 5.8S ribosomal RNA, internal transcribed spacer 2, and large subunit ribosomal RNA". The stretch from base 607 to 1376 matches the Rfam family "Eukaryotic large subunit ribosomal RNA", at positions 1 to 628 of the family's 3401-position model. The record is from RNAcentral. Lineage: Eukaryota; Fungi; Neocallimastigomycota; Neocallimastigomycetes; Neocallimastigales.
UUUCCGUAGGUGAACCUGCGGAAGGAUCAUUAAAAAAUGUGGUACCGAUUGUUGGUACUAAUUAAUCAUCCUACCCUUUGUGAAUUUGUUUGUAACGAAUUUUUUUAAAUGGUCUUUCCCUAAGUUGGAUUGUAGUAAAUACAAAAAAGACUUAGGGGAAUGACUUUUUUAAAAGACUUUUUUUUAAAUUAAAACUUUUUGUAUUCAUUUGUCUAAAAUUUAUUUUAUAAUAUAAAACAACUUUUGACAAUGGAUCUCUUGGUUCUCGCAACGAUGAAGAACGCAGCAAAAUGCGAUAAGUAGUGUGAAUUGCAGAAUACGUGAAUCAUCGAAUCUUCGAACGCAUAUUGCACUUUUUUAGUUUACUAAAAAGUAUGUCUGUUUGAGUAUCAGUAAAAUAUUCUCACAAAAACAAUUUGUUUUUUGUGGUUAUGAGUGUUUUACAACGAUAAACAAGUUGUUUCACUUAAAUUCUUUUUAAUUGAAUUUUACCAAUUCAUAAAUUAAAAUUGGAUAAAAUUUUCCUUUAACGAGGAAUAACCUAAACAAUUUUAAAUUUUAUGGAUUAAUAAACAUUCAUCAAAGGAAUCUAUACAACAAAUAACUUGAUCUCAAAUCAGAUAAGAGUACCGCUGAACUUAAGCAUAUCAAUAAGCGGAGGAAAAGAAACUAACAAGGAUUCCUUAGUAACGGCGAGUGAAGCGGAAGAGCUCAAAUUUGAAAUCUUCAAGGUUUGACCUUGACGAAUUGUAGUUUAUAGAAGUGUUUUCUGUUGGAGUUUGGUAAAAGUUCUUUGGAAUAGGACAUCAUAGAGGUGAGAAUCCCGUAUUUGACCAUGACUUUCCAGCUGUGUGAUACACUUUCAAAGAGUCGGAUUGUUUGGGAAUGCAGCCAAAAUGGGUGGUAAAUUUCAUCUAAAGCUAAAUAUUGGCGAGAGACCGAUAGCGAACAAGUACCGUGAGGGAAAGAUGAAAAGAACUUUGAAAAGAGAGUUAAACAGUACGUGAAAUUGUCAAAAGGGAAGCGUUUGACACCAGUGUUGUUUUCUCGAAAAUCAAUUUAAUGGUUCUUGUUUUUAAGUUAUUGUGACUUUAUCAGCGCAUUUCUUAUUUUACUUGACUCAUUGAAUGCACUUUUCGUUUAACAAGUCAACAUCAAUUUCUUUGGUGGUAAAAAGUUUAAAGGAGGUGGCUUGGACUUCGGUUCAGUGUUUAUAGCCUUUUUUCUAUGCCAUCGGAGAGAUUGAGGUCUGCAGCGUAGAUCCUUCGGGUUAGAUACCUUUGUGCUAAGUUAUAGUUUUUUAUAGACAACUUGUUGACUAUAAUUAACCCUGUAAUUUACUCGCUUAGGCUAUUUUACCUACGCUUAGGAUGUUG